AUCAUGCUCGUUUAUUAUUUAUAGAUUUUUCUUCAGCGUUUAAUACUAUUCAACCAAUUAUUUUAGCUGAACGUUUGCUUUCUGAAUUUAAUGUCCCUAUAAGUGUUUGGUGGCCUGGAUUUUAGAUUUUCUGACCAGAAGAUCUCAAAUAGUACGGGUGAAUGGAGAACAUUCCAGGGAACUGCAUUCUUCAGUGGGCUGUCCCCAGGGUUGUAUUCUUUCACCUUUAUUAUUUAUUUUAUAUACAGAUAGGUGCAGAAGUCAAUAUCCAGACAGACAUAUUAUUAAAUAUGCCGAUGAUACAGUGGUGCUGAGUCUGUUAAAGCAAGGUGACACAGAGCAUGGGCCCAUUUUGAAUUAUUUUUUGGAUUGGUGUGAGAGUUCUCAUUUACAAAUUAACGUAUCCAAAACUAAGGAUAUGACUAUAGAAUUUUAUAAUUCUGUCGGAACUCCAUCUAAAGUAGUUAUUGCUGGUAAAGAGGUUGAGAAGGUCAGUUCAUAUAAGUAUUUGGGUACAUUAAUUGAUGAUAAACUUAGGUGGGUGGAAAACACAAAUCUUAUUAUAUCGAAAGCACAAAAACGGUUAUAUUUACUGAGGAAGCUUAAGUCCUUUGAAGUGGAUAAAUCCAUAUUGAUAAUGUUUUAUAGAUCUUUCAUUGAAAGUGUUUUAACCUUUGCUAUGAUCUGUUGGUUUUAUGGAUUAAAUGUUAAAAAUUACAGGAUCUGUACAGUUGGGUUUGUCUGCUUUGUGUGAGAGAAAUGUUCUUAGGAAGUCUUUGACUAUCCUAGAGGAUACAUCCCACAUUUUGUUUUUAGAAUUUGAAUUGCUUCCCUCAGGAAAGCGAUAUAGAGUGCCCAAGUGGAGGACUGUUAAAGCUUCUAGGUCUUU
Long non-coding RNA from Rhinichthys klamathensis goyatoka, 889 nucleotides. RefSeq lists it as uncharacterized. NCBI's taxonomy places the organism in Eukaryota, Metazoa, Chordata, Actinopteri, Cypriniformes, Leuciscidae. The record is from RefSeq and is a predicted model, not a curated record. The transcript is spliced from 2 exons.